UCAAGCUAUAAAGAGCGUAGGGAGAAUGACUUGGCAUCAGGAGCCGAAGAAGGACGUGACAAGCUGCGAAAAGCUGCGGUUAGGAGCAAAUAUCCAUAGACCCGCAGAUAUCCGAAUGGGGAAACCCGGUACGGCAAUACCGUAUCACUGCAUGGUAAAUACAUAGCCAUGUGGAGGAAACCCUCUGAACUGAAACAUCUAAGUAGGAGGAGGAAGAGAAAGAAACAUCGAUUUCCUAAGUAGCGGCGAGCGAAAGGGAAAGAGGCCAAACCAGAGAUAGCAAUAUCUUUGGGGUUGCGGACUGCAUAAUUGAUUUAACAUCUUUAGCAGAAGUGUAUGGGAAGACACACCAUAGUAGGUAAUAGUCCUGUAAGCGAAAGGGAUGUUAACAUGGCAGUAUCCAGAGUACCACCGGACACGAGGAACCCGGUGGGAAGCCGGGGGGACCACCCCCCAAGCCUAAAUACUACCUGAUGACCGAUAGUGAAAAGUACAGUGAUGGAAAGUUGAAAAGAACCCCGGAAGGGGAGUGAAAAAGAAUCUGAAACCCUAUGUUUACAAGCUGCUAAAGCACUAUAUAUGUGCGAUAGCGUACUUUUUGUAGAACGGUCCGGCGAGUGUAUGUUGCAAGCGAGGUUAAGGUGUUAAGCACUGAAGCCGAAGGGAGACCGAGUGUGAAUAGCGCGUACAGUUUGCAGUAUACGACCCGAAACCGGGUGACCUACCCAUGGUCAGGUUGAAGUGGAAGUAAAAUUCCAUGGAGGACCGAACCCACGUCUGUUGAAAAAGGCGGGGAUGAGCUGUGGUUAGCGGUGAAAUUCCAAUCGAACUCGGAUAUAGCUGGUUCUCAUCGAAAUAGCUUUAGGGCUAGCCUCAGGAUAGUUUAGCGGAGGUAAAGCACUGAAUGGGCUAGGGGGCUUCACGGCUUACCGAACCCUAUCAAACUCUGAAUGCCGCAUAAAUGUUUCCUGGGAGUCAGACUGCGUGAGAUAAGUUUCGUAGUCAAAAGGGAAAGAGCCCAGACCUACAGCUAAGGUCCCUAAAUGAAUUUAAGUGGAAAAGGAUGUGCAGUUGCGUAGACAACUAGGACGUUGGCUUAGAAGCAGCCACUCAUUUAAAGAGUGCGUAAUAGCUCACUAGUCGAGUGAUUGUGCGCCGAAAAUGUAACGGGGCUAAAAUUCAUACCGAAGCUUAGGAAUGAUAGUAAUAUUGUUGGUAGAUGAGCGUUGUGUAAGUCUGCGAAGCUACACCGAAAGGAGUAGUGGAGAUAUCACAAGUGAGAAUGCCGGAAUGAGUAGCGAGAAUUAUGUGAGAAUCAUAAUGGUCGAAAAUCUAAGGUUUCUUGAGGAAGGUUCGUCCGCUCAAGGUAAGCCGGGAGCUAAGGCGAGGCCGAGAGGCGUAGUCGAUGCACAUACGGUAAAGAUUCCGUAGCCACCGAAGUCGUUAAAUACAGGGACACAGGAACAUAGCCCAUCCCCACCGUUGGUUGAGUGGGGCGUAAGGGAGCGAAAAUUAGUAGCGAAGUGGGUGAUUGUACACUGGCGAGAAAAGCUGUAUGAAUUGACAAGGUGCCCGUACCGCAAACCGACACAGGUAGAUGAGGAGAGAAUCCUAAGGCCGGCGGGAGAAGUGUUGUUAAGGAACUCGGCAAAAUGACCCCGUAACUUCGGGAUAAGGGGAGCCUACGCGAGUAGGCCGCAGAGAAUAGUCUCAAGCGACUGUUUAGCAAAAACACAGGUCUAUGCUAAAUCGAAAGAUGAUGUAUAUGGGCUGACGCCUGCCCGGUGCUGGAAGGUUAAGGGGAAGUGUUAGAGCAAUCGAAGCACUGAACUUAAGCCCCAGUAAACGGCGGCCGUAACUAUAACGGUCCUAAGGUAGCGAAAUUCCUUGUCAGGUAAGUUCUGACCCGC
This 1910-nucleotide ribosomal RNA is filed under the name human gut metagenome. RNAcentral describes it as "bacterial LSU rRNA". It matches the Rfam family "Bacterial large subunit ribosomal RNA", at positions 3 to 1991 of the family's 2925-position model. The record is from RNAcentral.